UACCAACUACGACCAGUUUACGCAAAAAAAUAUAUUGAUAGUUACCUGUUCCGCAGAGGAAGAUUUUAUUUUGUCAACUGAGCUUUUUACCCCUAUAGUAAAAUUUUUUCGCCCCUAUGAAAAACAACUUGCCUUACUGGACUAUCUCUGUUGUGGUAGAGGCGUUUAAUUUCAUCAUACGCUUUUUUUGCAGCAAAUAUCUUCUUGUCAUUGUAAUUUACUGCAAAGUGAGCAGUUGAUAUUCCACUGGUAUGUGCUUUUCAAAAAUAAUGCAGUAAAAUUAAUUUAUUUGAUAAUUAGAGCUAAGCAGCAUUGCUGAGGAGUUUUUUGUCCAGGAAUGGUGGAAUGUCGGAAGAUAAAAUAUCAGUGACUGGUCACGCAACAUGAUGGUCCCUAAAAACAGAGCAUACAUGUAAAGCUAAAUUUUCAUGCAUUUUAUGCAUUUUUAAAUGACUUUGAAACUUAAAAAUUUCACCAUUACUUGAAAUAUUGAACACGUUUAUGUCACAGGGAUCACCGGCAAUCUUGGACUAUUCUGGAGUUACACCAGCGGGAGCUCACGUAGUGGGCAUUGCGUCUAAAAUGAAGGGCUCAAGAACAAUAUUUGCUUGGACUCAAUAUUCCAAUGGACUGUCCCGAAGAAUCUUCCAUUGGAUGAAGCGGCUUCUCUUCCGACCGCAUAUUUAAUGGCGCACUCGAUCCUGGAAGAAAGGAUGGCAGUUAGAAUAGUUAAGGAUACGGACGAGACAAUAAAAAAGACAGCUUUCAUCGUAAAUGGACAAACGCCCGUCGGAUUGGCUUUCAUAUCUCUUUGCAUCGAAAAUAAUUAUGAUAUUUACAUUACCGUCUCUAACGAGGCGGCUUCUCAACUUGUGUCUCAGAUUUUCCCUCAGGUAUAUGCAUUUAGAUUUAAUAAAUAUAAGAUAAUGUAGAGUUUUGAAAACAUAAGAGUUUCCCUGAUUUAGUGUGGUGAAUUCCGAGGUUUCCCCCUCAAACAUGUGAUAAAAUAUAUGUUCACUUUAAGGGAGGCUGCAUGCAUAUGUCAAGUAAAGUUGAAGCAUCAAAAUUGAGUUUUCAGUAAACUUUUAAUAUCUCAAAGUAAUUUAUUUCAUCUCUGUGAUAAUAAGCCAAUAGCGAGCCAGAAGUUGUAUUUAAUAUGACAAUUCAAGACCUGAAUUGGCAGAUUAAAAGUUUAAACACAUAUCUUUUUUCAAAGCAAGAUAUAUAAUUAAGACAUAAUAAGCUAUGUUUCCUCUUGCAAAUUUCACGUCUUACAUAUUGAAUAAAUAUACUGAAAAUAUGUUUACGAGAAAGAAGCUACCGCUUGAUCUUUACAUUUCAAACAGGAAUAUCGAAUUUUUUUUCGAGCAAUGCGAAAAAAACCAAAGUCAGAGAAAGUCAAAUCAGUUAUUGUACAACCAGAAUUCUACACGACAAAAAAUUCACUUUUCC
RNAcentral lists this long non-coding RNA (1452 nucleotides) under Bemisia tabaci. RNAcentral's name for it is "lncRNA ENSSSA1NGG010030". Lineage: Eukaryota; Metazoa; Arthropoda; Insecta; Hemiptera; Aleyrodidae. The record is from RNAcentral.